GUCCUGGUUGAACUGCAGGCUGUUGACUCCUCUCUGCUGAGCCAUAGUUGCUGAGGUACCACUGCCGAGCUGUUACCAGUAAACUACGGCUUCUGUUUCAAGCUCCAAACUGUAAGAAACGCGAAAACACGGCACGAGUUCAAAGGCCGUACAUGGACAUGGACCAGGCUGUGUCAAGGGCAUCGACAUAAGAAGACACUGCGCUUACCACACAGCCAGUGGAGGGGCCAUAGAACAAGAGAAAAGGCACCCUGAAAUGCAAAUUGGCUAAAUGUUGUGAAGAAACAGGACUCUCAUGGAUUCAGGCACUACCAGAAGUGACCAUGAUGAUCCCACCAGCCGUCUGCCAGGACGACGGCUCGGAUCAACAGUAACACUCUAAUUGCACGCUAUUGCAUUGACACUCUGGACGAGGACAUGACAACAUGCAGUGACGCAGCAAUAAAAGACUGAGAAAUACUUUGUGUUGUUGCACCCAUGACUGACGAUGACUGUGCUACAGACUUGUUCUCACGGGACAAAGAACACUGUGAGACUUCAUCUGAUACUAGUGAUGACUCUGACACCGAAAAAGACUACUUUGUGUAAAUAGUGAUACUUAUGCUCUCAUAAACAAUGACUGUUCUAUUCUUUUUGCUAAGCUUUAUCAUCAGAGGUGCUCUCACUUCUACAAAAACAGCUCUUGGCCUUUUCUGUGAACAUUUUAUGAUGAUAGCUACUGAAAAUCUUUGUGAAUUUGGCUAUGCUGAUGUUUCGGUGUUCACUCUGUGUUGCUUAAUAAUAAUCAAAGGGGAGGGAAUGUAAUGGAAAUUUCAUGUAUGUGAAAGUAUUUUCUUUUGUGAUAGAACUUAUAUAUAUAAUCCAGUGAGUAAUGUUAUUUGUUCGAUGUGUUAUGAAACAUUGCAUUUAGCAUAAGAUGAUCAAAUCUAUGAACACUCUGUUCUUUGUAUGUUACACGUUUCACUGAGUUGUUACAUUUUUGACUCCUUAGCAACAAUGGAGAUAUUAAAGGAGGCACAGAGAGAGAGGUUUCAGAACUACACUCUUGCAGGUCAACUGCACCUUUUCCUGUGUACUUCUCUUCCUGCAAGAAUAAACCAACAGAAAGACACCUUUGAUUGACUCUUAUUAAUUCA
Betta splendens (Siamese fighting fish) is the source of this 1136-nucleotide long non-coding RNA. RefSeq lists it as uncharacterized. The transcript is spliced from 3 exons. The record is from RefSeq and is a predicted model, not a curated record. NCBI's taxonomy places the organism in Eukaryota, Metazoa, Chordata, Actinopteri, Anabantiformes, Osphronemidae.